This is a long non-coding RNA of Hippocampus zosterae (dwarf seahorse), 805 nucleotides long. RefSeq lists it as uncharacterized. The record is from RefSeq and is a predicted model, not a curated record. The transcript has 3 exons. NCBI's taxonomy places the organism in Eukaryota, Metazoa, Chordata, Actinopteri, Syngnathiformes, Syngnathidae.
GUUAGCCAAUCUAAAGGUUGCUUAGCUCACUUUGCUAUUUGGCGACAUGGUGUGUACCACACAAAACAUGGAGCAGGGAGACUCUGCAUUGUGAUUUCUUCAUCUCGGCACAACCCUCUUGAACUCGUUUCUUUGCCGCUAAAAUUCGGCUUGGUCUUGGCUCUCGGUGUGAGUGAAAUGUGACUGGUCCGUGCCCCGAGCUUUCCAACCAGCUGCUCACUCCUUCAGUCUUUCGGGUCUCAGCUCGCGUGUUUGCUACAGGAGCAGGAGGUGUCUGUGUGAGUGUUUGUCUGCUUUCAAUGGGCAAGGUCAAUCCAGUUGAAAAGACCUUUGUUAACCCUCUUGCACUAUUUUACAGAUUUAAAUCGCAUAACUUGUAACAACAUACUGGGGAGUUAGAUACUUGUUCCCUAAUAUUUUUGAGAGCUGCGUCCUGUGCAUGUGCGCGCGUGCGCGCCUGUGUGUAAUUGCCAUGACGAGACAAGAUGUUGAGUCGGCGGUGCGUGCCGUCAGAGCGCUUGAACACUUCACAGACUGCCCGCAGAGAACAAGAGAGACAGAAGGCGGCAGAGGGAUAAGAGGAAGAAGACAGAAGCAGAUGAGUGACGAAAUGUUUUUUUUAAAAAGCAACUUAACAUCACAUGGAUAUCAAACCUUGCCGAGGGUUCGCACCAGAGUUUAAUAGGAAAAGGAAGAGAUUUAAUACUCACAUGAGCACGCUAAACCAAUGCAACAACACAGACAUGACAGACCUGCUGUGCUGAGAAACAUUGUUUGGCUGCAGAAGCACAAGAAUGUGAAUUUU